CACAAAAAAGCUGGAAAACGGUCAAAAACACCCAACGGCUGGACCUCCUCCCACGGAAAAAUCCCAAUGACACACAUACAUAGAAAGGGACGUGACAGUGAGGGAAAAAGGAUUUGAGGAUUAAAAAAAAAGAAAAGAGAUUAAGAGAAUUGGGGGAAAACGGCAAAGAAGGGGAUGAGAAUUGAACAAAGAACUGGAGGAAACAAUUGAGUGGGGAUCAGACUUUAAAAAGAAAAGAGGAGCAGCAGUUGGCAAAAAAAAAAAAGCGCAGCUAUCUCCUUCUCCGACCAAAAUGCAGUAGCUUUUCACACCAUUUUUUCAGCCAUAUAAACUCCACAUAUCUCCAUUAAAAAACAGCCCCUUUGCACACACAAAAUGGCAGAGUCGCCGACAAGAUAGGUUUGCCGUCGAGGUUCGAUUUGAGAUCGUUGCUCUUUGUUUACGGUUUGAGGUUUGAGUUCCAAUUCGUUCAUAAAGAUAAUGUCUCGAGCUCUAGUAUAGAUUAUUGAAAUUGGAAUUGGAAGGUGGUGCUGUAUAUUCAGUAUUUCUGUUUAACUGAGUUUGGAAAAUAUAUUGUACUGGAUCGAAGUGUACGAUUCCAAAUUUCUCUUAUAAAGGGAUUGUUGAACCUUUUAACUGAGUUUAGAAAAUUUAUGGCUUUCA
This is a long non-coding RNA of Nicotiana tabacum (common tobacco), 663 nucleotides long. RefSeq lists it as uncharacterized. The record is from RefSeq and is a predicted model, not a curated record. Lineage: Eukaryota; Viridiplantae; Streptophyta; Magnoliopsida; Solanales; Solanaceae.